GGGGGCGUAAAGGUUUCGACGGGGAUCUUGAUGGCGAAUAAGCGAGUAGAGAAUGCGUCAAUCUCUUUAAACGGCGCACACUUUAAAUUUUAAACGACAAUAAUAGUUUAGAAUUGGCUGCUGCUUAAUAGCGGCCCGUCCUGCCGGUGAGUACUGCGGCACCGGUUUGGGCGUCGAUUAGCAGUGAACGUUGCGCAGCAACUCCGGUAGCUGUGUGAUGAAUUUCCGGAUACUAAGGUAUGGAGCGUGCUUGUCCGCGCCUGCCGAGGGAAAGUAAAAGAUAAGCUACACUCGUAGAAAGUUUUCCGGAUGGGUUUUCGGACACGGGUUCGACUCCCGUCGCCUCCACCA
RNAcentral lists this transfer-messenger RNA (351 nucleotides) under Oscillospiraceae. RNAcentral's name for it is "Faeciplasma gallinarum Standard tmRNA". It matches the Rfam family "transfer-messenger RNA". From Rfam's summary of the family: Bacterial tmRNA, also known as 10Sa RNA or SsrA, is named for its dual tRNA and mRNA-like properties. Its role is to liberate the mRNA from a stalled ribosome. To accomplish this part of the tmRNA is used as a reading frame that ends in a translation stop signal. Lineage: Bacteria; Bacillati; Bacillota; Clostridia; Eubacteriales. The record is from RNAcentral. RNAcentral also lists the same sequence under 1 other name.